RNAcentral lists this ribosomal RNA (350 nucleotides) under uncultured Synergistaceae bacterium. RNAcentral's name for it is "bacterial SSU rRNA". It matches the Rfam family "Bacterial small subunit ribosomal RNA", at positions 1037 to 1382 of the family's 1533-position model. Lineage: Bacteria; Thermotogati; Synergistota; Synergistia; Synergistales; Synergistaceae. The record is from RNAcentral.
GGUGCUGCAUGGCUGUCGUCAGCUCGUGUCGUGAGAUGUUGGGUUAAGGUCCCGCAACGAGCGCAACCCCUCGCAUUCAGUUGCCAUCGGGUGAAGCCGGGCACUCUGGAAGGACUGCCAUCGACAAGAUGGAGGAAGGUGGGGACGGACGCCAAGUCAUCAUGGCCCUUAUGUCCAGGGCGACACACGUGCUACAAUGGCCGGCACGAACGGAAGCGAGUUCGCGAGGACGAGCGGAUCCCUUAAAGCCGGUCGCAGUUCGGAUUGAAGUCUGCAACUCGACUUCAUGAAGCUGGAAUCGCUAGUAAUCGCAGAUCAGCCAAGCUGCGGUGAAUACGUUCCCGGGCCUU